CCACUGCCCAGGCUGGUCUGCUGGGGCGAGCCAGAGGUUUGACUUUCCUCUCGGAGAGCUGCACCCAAGGAACUUGGUGUCCCAGCGGCCUUCAAGCGCAUUUGGGCCAACGCUGCAGACACUUCUGGGGAGGCCAGUUGAGCCCUGUCUAUUUAUUGAGAAGCUGGCCUUUGGGAGGGCCUGAGCCACAGAACACAGUCCAGCUCAUUUCACUUCCAUUGUGACCUCACAGCUGCCGGGGAGGCUGGGCCUCACAGGCCUCUGGGAGGGGCCUAGUGAUGAACUUAGUCUGCGAGAGCUUUGUCCUCAGAGGAAAGGAGCCCGCGUUCCCUUAGCACUGCCACCAAGCUGAGACACAUGUUCCAACUCCCUGAGGAUCGUCUACUGGGCUGAUCUGUUCAACUUGCCUCAUGGAAGGGACCAGUGGAGUGCUGCACUUAACGAACUAUGGUGUCCCAGAGGCCCUCCAGUGCUGUUGGACUGCACUCUGAACCUCUCGAGACAGCUGCCGGGGAGGCUGGGCCUCACAGGCCUCUGGGAGGGGCCUAGUGGUGAACUUAGUCUGCGAGAGCUUUGUCCUCAGAGGAAAGGAGCCCGCGUUCCCUUGGCACUGCCACCAAGCUGAGACACAUGUUCCAACUCCCUGAGGUGAGAAGCUAGUCCCAAGGGGCCCUCCAGGAAGGUGACAUAUCACCCAGAGGUAGACAGACAUGGUCACUGACGUCAUCCCUGUAAAGGCAAGGCAUGAAGGAAGAACUUCAGCAUUUCAAAGCACCUUUUAGGGGCACCUGGGAGGCUCGGUGGGCUUAAGCAUCGGACUCUUGCUUUUAUCUGUCAGGAGGUGGCACUCUUGACUCACCUGAUAUGAAACUCUUACCUGGGCACAACAAAUGAAAGCAAUCGAAAGUGUCAGUAAGAAGACUGAAGAUACAACCACAUCAACUGAACGCUGUGGCCCCCGUCUCUGUGGAGUGAGAUGCAAGUUAAUGUAGCUCAUCAUGCCAAUGGCCACCUCCGUGAUGCUCAUCUCUGGUCCUUUUUUCUUCAAAAAGCCAACUUCUUACCUGGAAAGAGGCUAAACAUCUGUGAUGAUGGGAAGUAGGAUUCCAUGAUCUCCAACGUAGCUUCCCUGUCUAAAUGUCUGGAAGUAAGGCUAAGCUUGGUGUGUUUGUGGCAUGUUAAGGAGAGAAGUAUUUAUAGAGAGCAAUGUGACUGUACUGGCGGUAGCAAGAAGUUAGGUAGGAGAGCCUCUAAUAGGCCUUCCACUUUACAUGAAUAACUGAGGAGUUAAGCCUUUCUCUGGUCUAAUCAGGACACAGAAAAGCACAGAAAACUCAAGAGGAAGCUCAAGAUUAAAAAAAAAAAAAGUACCAUUUUCUUCUGCCACAUAAGUUCUUAUUCUUCAAGUACCAACUCAAGUCCCCUUCACCAACACAGUCAGC
Canis lupus familiaris (dog) is the source of this 1442-nucleotide long non-coding RNA. RefSeq lists it as uncharacterized. The record is from RefSeq and is a predicted model, not a curated record. The transcript has 6 exons. NCBI's taxonomy places the organism in Eukaryota, Metazoa, Chordata, Mammalia, Carnivora, Canidae.